UCCCGUGCGAGCGUCGCAACGGUGAGGCGAUAGGAUCGCUUUUCCAGGCUCGGAUGUGUGGGCAGUCCCUUCACCAAACGCGCCAAGGCCUCCCGCAGCUUGCACUCCGUGUUGCGCAGGCGCUUCUCGUGAGGCGUGAGUGCCGGCAUCUUGCUGGUCUUAGGCGCCAUCUCGAUCGUCCUCGCUAUCGAGUUCUGUCAGGAUGCGAUCGCAUUCGAUGAUCCGCGUCUCAGCAAGCUUCCGGCUGACGUGGUCCAAGCCGGGCUGGUCGAGAAGACUGGCAUUGCGUGCGCGGCGCUCCUGCCAGACCGAUCGAUGCUUGGCCGUGACGGCAAAGUUGGCGCAGGUAAGGCACGUGCUUUCGGUUCUCAGCACGGGGUUCGGGCCGCGCUCGUCGCCGAGGCAGGCAGCCGUUUCGAUGCGGUAGACGCAAUAACCCCAGUCGCAGACCCCAAGGCGGAGGUCGGUCUCUUCCAUCAGGAAGCGGACAUAGGUCUGGACAUCGCCGUCUCGCGUGCGGCCGCGGAACCGGGAGCGAGCGGCAAUCAUCCGACCACCCUUGCCUCCGAGCGUCGUCGCCGUCAGCACCUCCUCCAGAGCGGCGCGGGUUUCUUCCUGAGCAUGCCGGUCGAUCAGGUCGUCGAGCGCGAAGUCGGUCCCGACAUAACCGCGAUCGGUCAUGGCGCGAGUCACGUGGCCGAAGUGCGCCUGAAGCGCAUGCAGCCCAGUGCGGUCGCGUCUGCCGACAAAGCGCGCGAAGGUCUUUCGGCCCUGAUGGGUGUUCAGAUGCCAGGGCUCGCCCUCGUGGUCCGGCAGCCGGAUGAACGGUGCGAACAGAUGAUUCAGCCGCCGUAUCAUUGUGGAGGCAGUGGGCAGGUUGAUGCGGGCGGCAGGACCAACCAGCCCCGUACUGGCCAUGAUCAGGAACAGAUCGGAUCG
This 939-nucleotide unclassified non-coding RNA is filed under the name Hevea brasiliensis (rubber tree). The record is from RNAcentral. Lineage: Eukaryota; Viridiplantae; Streptophyta; Magnoliopsida; Malpighiales; Euphorbiaceae.